Molecule: ribosomal RNA, 427 nt
Filed under: Sphingobium sp. S18
Lineage: Bacteria; Pseudomonadati; Pseudomonadota; Alphaproteobacteria; Sphingomonadales; Sphingobiaceae
Description: bacterial SSU rRNA
Rfam family: Bacterial small subunit ribosomal RNA
Source: RNAcentral
UUUGAUCCUGGNUCAGAACGAACGCUGGCGGCAUGCCUAAUACAUGCAAGUCGAACGAAGGCUUCGGCCUUAGUGGCGCACGGGUGCGUAACGCGUGGGAAUCUGCCCUUGGGUUCGGAAUAACGUCUGGAAACGGACGCUAAUACCGGAUGAUGACGUAAGUCCAAAGAUUUAUCGCCCAAGGAUGAGCCCGCGUAGGAUUAGCUAGUUGGUGAGGUAAAGGCUCACCAAGGCGACGAUCCUUAGCUGGUCUGAGAGGAUGAUCAGCCACACUGGGACUGAGACACGGCCCAGACUCCUACGGGAGGCAGCAGUAGGGAAUAUUGGACAAUGGGCGAAAGCCUGAUCCAGCAAUGCCGCGUGAGUGAUGAAGGCCUUAGGGUUGUAAAGCUCUUUUAACCCGGGAUGAUAAUGACAGUACCGGGAG